CAAUAGCGUAUAUUAAAGUUGUUGCGGUUAAAAAGCUCGUAGUUGGAUUUCUGCUGAGAACGACCGGUCCGCCCUUUGGGUGUGUAUCUGGCUCUUUCUUGGCAUCUUCUUGGUGAACGUUGCUGCACUUGACUGUGUGGAGCGCUACCCAGGACUUUUACUUUGAGGAAAUUAGAGUGUUUCAAGCAGGCAUACGCCUUGAAUACAUUAGCAUGGAAUAAUAAGAUAGGACCUCGGUUCUAUUUUGUUGGUUUCUAGAGCUGGGGUAAUGAUUAAUAGGGACUGUCGGGGGCAUUGGUAUUUGACUGUCAGAGGUGAAAUUCUUAGAUUCGUUGAGGACCAACCACUGCGAAAGCAUUUGUCAAGGAUGUCUCCAUUAA
RNAcentral lists this ribosomal RNA (380 nucleotides) under uncultured eukaryote. Its description in RNAcentral is "partial 18S ribosomal RNA". It matches the Rfam family "Eukaryotic small subunit ribosomal RNA", at positions 592 to 976 of the family's 1831-position model. The record is from RNAcentral.